GCUGAUUCCAUAGUUCUAUAACGUCUUUCCUCUGUUUCAAAUUCCCGAUCCACCGUUCGCUCAACAUGACCCGUCUUCAUCAUAACCUACCACAAUGUUAGACAAUUCUUCAACACUCAAAUACAUACCGAGGUACCCGCUCGGUUAACGGCCUUUUUGAAUCCAUGCCAACUCAUUUUUGUGAUAUGGAAAAGAGAAGCGUCGGCAUACCCAGAUAUCUUAUGUCAGUUGAUCGCUGCGCUAAUGUUCGCUAGCUAAGCUGCAUUGGAUCUUUUAGUGGAUUCAGCAGGAUUCGCGUAGGGAACAAUUCACGGAAGCAAAGCCAUAACGUAAAGCCUGAUUGCGAAGUUUAUCAUUGCGUUAAAUAGAAUAAUGAUAGUUUAUUUCACAAUGCAAUUAUAAAAAGAUAAGGAUGAAAAGCGUGUCGUUAAUUUU
This is a non-coding RNA of Schizosaccharomyces pombe (fission yeast), 435 nucleotides long. The record is from the annotation of a GenBank genome assembly. Lineage: Eukaryota; Fungi; Ascomycota; Schizosaccharomycetes; Schizosaccharomycetales; Schizosaccharomycetaceae.